Molecule: long non-coding RNA, 235 nt
Filed under: Capsicum annuum
Lineage: Eukaryota; Viridiplantae; Streptophyta; Magnoliopsida; Solanales; Solanaceae
Description: long non-coding RNA (CANN_LNC017082)
Source: RNAcentral
GCACACCUAGCUCAAGCUAGUAAAACUAGUUUUUCGGGUUGAACUCUAAAUUACUCAAUUAAGCACAAAUUUGUUUGAAAAAUACUUUGGACAUUGUAAUCACAUACUUGGACACUUAAAUUCUUAUUUAUAUAAAUAUUAACACGUUAAGAACAUGAAUAUAUCUCAAAACAAGGCGAAAUAAGCUAGAAUAAUGAUACAAAAGUGUAUAAAAUUACCUCAGAUCAUCACCCCA